AAAUUGAAGAGUUUGAUCAUGGCUCAGAUUGAACGCUGGCGGCAGGCCUAACACAUGCAAGUCGAACGGUAACAGGAAGCAGCUUGCUGCUUCGCUGACGAGUGGCGGACGGGUGAGUAAUGUCUGGGAAACUGCCUGAUGGAGGGGGAUAACUACUGGAAACGGUAGCUAAUACCGCAUAAUGUCGCAAGACCAAAGAGGGGGACCUUCGGGCCUCUUGCCAUCGGAUGUGCCCAGAUGGGAUUAGCUAGUAGGUGGGGUAACGGCUCACCUAGGCGACGAUCCCUAGCUGGUCUGAGAGGAUGACCAGCCACACUGGAACUGAGACACGGUCCAGACUCCUACGGGAGGCAGCAGUGGGGAAUAUUGCACAAUGGGCGCAAGCCUGAUGCAGCCAUGCCGCGUGUAUGAAGAAGGCCUUCGGGUUGUAAAGUACUUUCAGCGGGGAGGAAGGCGAUAAGGUUAAUAACCUUGUCGAUUGACGUUACCCGCAGAAGAAGCACCGGCUAACUCCGUGCCAGCAGCCGCGGUAAUACGGAGGGUGCAAGCGUUAAUCGGAAUUACUGGGCGUAAAGCGCACGCAGGCGGUCUGUCAAGUCGGAUGUGAAAUCCCCGGGCUCAACCUGGGAACUGCAUUCGAAACUGGCAGGCUAGAGUCUUGUAGAGGGGGGUAGAAUUCCAGGUGUAGCGGUGAAAUGCGUAGAGAUCUGGAGGAAUACCGGUGGCGAAGGCGGCCCCCUGGACAAAGACUGACGCUCAGGUGCGAAAGCGUGGGGAGCAAACAGGAUUAGAUACCCUGGUAGUCCACGCCGUAAACGAUGUCGACUUGGAGGUUGUGCCCUUGAGGCGUGGCUUCCGGAGCUAACGCGUUAAGUCGACCGCCUGGGGAGUACGGCCGCAAGGUUAAAACUCAAAUGAAUUGACGGGGGCCCGCACAAGCGGUGGAGCAUGUGGUUUAAUUCGAUGCAACGCGAAGAACCUUACCUACUCUUGACAUCCAGAGAACUUUCCAGAGAUGGAUUGGUGCCUUCGGGAACUCUGAGACAGGUGCUGCAUGGCUGUCGUCAGCUCGUGUUGUGAAAUGUUGGGUUAAGUCCCGCAACGAGCGCAACCCUUAUCCUUUGUUGCCAGCGGUCCGGCCGGGAACUCAAAGGAGACUGCCAGUGAUAAACUGGAGGAAGGUGGGGAUGACGUCAAGUCAUCAUGGCCCUUACGAGUAGGGCUACACACGUGCUACAAUGGCGCAUACAAAGAGAAGCGACCUCGCGAGAGCAAGCGGACCUCAUAAAGUGCGUCGUAGUCCGGAUUGGAGUCUGCAACUCGACUCCAUGAAGUCGGAAUCGCUAGUAAUCGUGGAUCAGAAUGCCACGGUGAAUACGUUCCCGGGCCUUGUACACACCGCCCGUCACACCAUGGGAGUGGGUUGCAAAAGAAGUAGGUAGCUUAACCUUCGGGAGGGCGCUUACCACUUUGUGAUUCAUGACUGGGGUGAAGUCGUAACAAGGUAACCGUAGGGGAACCUGCGGUUGGAUCACCUCCUUA
RNAcentral lists this ribosomal RNA (1542 nucleotides) under Enterobacter hormaechei. RNAcentral's name for it is "bacterial SSU rRNA". It matches the Rfam family "Bacterial small subunit ribosomal RNA". Lineage: Bacteria; Pseudomonadati; Pseudomonadota; Gammaproteobacteria; Enterobacterales; Enterobacteriaceae. The record is from RNAcentral. RNAcentral also lists the same sequence under 4 other names.